Molecule: ribosomal RNA, 484 nt
Filed under: uncultured bacterium
Lineage: Bacteria
Description: partial 16S ribosomal RNA
Rfam family: Bacterial small subunit ribosomal RNA
Source: RNAcentral
AUUGAACGCUGGCGGCAUGCUUUACACAUGCAAGUCAAACGGCAGCGCGGGCUUCGUCCUUGCUGCGGGUGGCGAACGGGUGAGUAAUGCAUCGGAAAGUGCCCAGUACUGGGUGAUAGCCCGUCGAAAGCCGGAUUAAUACCGCAUACGACCUGAGGGUGAAAGCGGGGGACCGAGAGGCCUCGCGCUAUUGGAGCGACCGAUGUCGGAUUAGCUAUUUGGUGGGGUAAAGGCUUACCAAGGCGACGAUCCGUAGCUGGUCUGAGAGGACGACCAGCCACACUGGGACUGAGACACGGCCCAGACUCCUACGGGAGGCAGCAGUGGGGAAUUUUGGACAAUGGGGGCAACCCUGAUCCAGCCAUGCCGCGUGCGGGAAGAAGGCCUUCGGGUUGUAAACCGCUUUUGUUCGGGAAGAAAUCCUCUGGGCUAAUACCCCGGGGGGAUGACGGUACCGGAAGAAUAAGCACCGGCUAACUACGUG